RNAcentral lists this ribosomal RNA (815 nucleotides) under uncultured bacterium. RNAcentral describes it as "bacterial SSU rRNA". It matches the Rfam family "Bacterial small subunit ribosomal RNA", at positions 8 to 808 of the family's 1533-position model. The record is from RNAcentral.
AGAGUUUGAUCCUGGCUCAGGACAAACGCUGGCGGCGUGCCUAAUACAUGCAAGUAGAACGCUGAAGGAGGAGCUUGCUUCUCUGGAUGAGUUGCGAACGGGUGAGUAACGCGUAGGUAACCUGCCUGGUAGCGGGGGAUAACUAUUGGAAACGAUAGCUAAUACCGCAUAACAGUAGAUAUCGCAUGAUAGCUGCUUGAAAGGUGCAAUUGCACCACUACCAGAUGGACCUGCGUUGUAUUAGCUAGUUGGUGGGGUAACGGCUCACCAAGGCAACGAUACAUAGCCGACCUGAGAGGGUGAUCGGCCACACUGGGACUGAGACACGGCCCAGACUCCUACGGGAGGCAGCAGUAGGGAAUCUUCGGCAAUGGACGGAAGUCUGACCGAGCAACGCCGCGUGAGUGAAGAAGGUUUUCGGAUCGUAAAGCUCUGUUGUAAGAGAAGAACGAGUGUGAGAGUGGAAAGUUCACACUGUGACGGUAUCUUACCAGAAAGGGACGGCUAACUACGUGCCAGCAGCCGUGGUAAUACGUAGGUCCCGAGCGUUGUCCGGAUUUAUUGGGCGUAAAGCGAGCGCAGGCGGUUAGAUAAGUCUGAAGUUAAAGGCUGUGGCUUAACCAUAGUACGCUUUGGAAACUGUUUAACUUGAGUGCAAGAGGGGAGAGUGGAAUUCCAUGUGUAGCGGUGAAAUGCGUAGAUAUAUGGAGGAACACCGGUGGCGAAAGCGGCUCUCUGGCUUGUAACUGACGCUGAGGCUCGAAAGCGUGGGGAGCAAACGGGAUUAGAUACCCUGGUAGUCCACGCCGUAAACG